This is a long non-coding RNA of Zophobas morio, 448 nucleotides long. RefSeq lists it as uncharacterized. Lineage: Eukaryota; Metazoa; Arthropoda; Insecta; Coleoptera; Tenebrionidae. The record is from RefSeq and is a predicted model, not a curated record. The transcript is spliced from 4 exons.
UUUAUUCUGCAGGUUUUAAGAGGAAAGUUACUUUUUAAGUUGUUAGCCAUUGUCGGGAGGUAAAUGUAUCGAAGUUAAAACAAGAAUCUCGCUGUCAUGGAUCAUACACCCGACAUAAAAAGUUGUAAGUACCCCUGCCUCCUUCACAAAUUGCUGACACGAAUAUAUACGUAAAACCCAUAAGACUAGAAGUAUUAUUGAUCAUAAUUUGUAGCCAGAAGUCCUAAAUAAGGUAUUUAAACGGGUGCAACUUUAAUACUUUUCCCACCGAAGGAAGCGAGAAAUACCAAGUGUUGUAACGCUCAUAGAUUUAGCUAAUAACGAUCUUACCGUCAUCAAUAAAGAAAUGCUUGCUGGCUUUCCAGAUUGACUUACUUGUAAGACUAUAAUCCUGUUAGAAUUAAUGUAACUUUUUACUGUAUAUAACGUUAUCCGAAUUAAUAGUUAA